GACGAAGGAUGCAAGCGUUAUCCGGAUUCAUUGGGUUUAAAGGGAGCGUAGGCGGCCUUAUAAGUCAGUGGUGAAAUCUCUGGGCUUAACCCAGAAAUUGCCAUUGAUACUGUAGGGCUUGAGUAUAGUUGCCGUUGGCGGAAUAUGACAUGUAGUGGUGAAAUACAUAGAGAUGUCAUAGAACACCGAUUGCGAAGGCAGCUGACGAAACUAUAACUGACACUGAGGCUCGAAAGUGCGGGGAUCAAACAGG
This 253-nucleotide ribosomal RNA is filed under the name uncultured bacterium. RNAcentral's name for it is "partial 16S ribosomal RNA". It matches the Rfam family "Bacterial small subunit ribosomal RNA", at positions 524 to 776 of the family's 1533-position model. The record is from RNAcentral.